This 384-nucleotide ribosomal RNA is filed under the name uncultured bacterium. RNAcentral describes it as "bacterial SSU rRNA". It matches the Rfam family "Bacterial small subunit ribosomal RNA", at positions 28 to 412 of the family's 1533-position model. The record is from RNAcentral.
GACGAACGCUGGCGGCGUGCUUAACACAUGCAAGUCGAGCGGUAAGGCCCUUUCGGGGGUACGACGAGCGGCGAACGGGUGAGUAACACGUGGGUGACCUGCCCUCAGCUCUGGGAUAAGCCUGGGAAACCGGGUCUAAUACUGGAUAUGACUCCAUGACGCAUGUUGUGGGGUGGAAGGCCUUGUGCGGCUGAGGAUGGGCCCGCGGCCUAUCAGCUUGUUGGUGGGGUGANGGCCUACCAAGGCGACGACGGGUAGCCGGCCUGAGAGGGCGACCGGCCACACUGGGACUGAGACACGGCCCAGACUCCUACGGGAGGCAGCAGUGGGGAAUCUUGCGCAAUGGGCGAAAGCCUGACGCAGCGACGCCGCGUGAGGGAUGAC